Long non-coding RNA from Acanthopagrus latus (yellowfin seabream), 1551 nucleotides. RefSeq lists it as uncharacterized. NCBI's taxonomy places the organism in Eukaryota, Metazoa, Chordata, Actinopteri, Spariformes, Sparidae. The record is from RefSeq and is a predicted model, not a curated record. The transcript is spliced from 2 exons.
CGCUUCCCGUUGUCUCCUCCAUCACCUCCCUGUUGUGAAUGCAUUGUUCUAAUUUCCAGUCCCCCACAUUCCACCAGUGGUCUGAAUGAACAGUAAAUCAUGCAGACUGGGAGGAGCUCCUCCUCCUCUUCUUUCAACACAUUAUUUUCCCAUGAACACAGCUGAAUAAUGAACCUUUAAUUUAAAGCUCUGCGGCUGUUCUCACACUGAACAACUCUACAUUCCUGCGCAACACUGGACUCCACUGCACCACAUCACUCCUGCAGAACCUCCCAGAGAAGUGAUGGGUCACAAACACCGGAACUCAUGUGAGACACUAGAACUAACAGUUAUCAGUCCGGACCUGCAGCCUGCAGAUCUGAGGAACCACUGAGCUCUGAGUCUGUACAUGAGGGUCAAAGUGGAGCUGGAUUUAUAUGAAGUUACUUUAGCAAUAGCAAAACAAAUGGUUACCUAAAAGUCCAUUUCAACGGUCAUCGGUCAUCCUCAUUAUCACCAAAUCCCAUUAACAAAUCUAACACUUUAAAGUUUCUGUGCAUACAUGCAGAUUUAGACUCACAGAAGAAAAAUGUUUCAGUAACUUUUCAAAAACUGCAGGAACCACUUGAAACAUCGACGCGAGUUCAACCCACCACACAGCCCGCACUCAACAAGAACAUUGGUCACUUUUAAAAGCUGGAUUAAUCCUGUUGUUUCCCUCCUCCCGGUCAGUACUGAGGUCCACCAGGAACACAUGAGGACCACCAGGAACACAUGAGGACCACCAGGAACACAUGAGGUCCACCAGGAACACAUGAGGUCCACCAGGAACACAUGAGGACCGCUGAGUUCACGACAGUCCGGCUUCCCUCCUCGGAGCACACGAGGCCACGCUACCUUGUGUUCCGUGCCGGGGGACCGUUGGCUGCCGCGAAGCUGUUAAAAGGCUGUUUUUUUUAAUGGAGUCUGGCGCAGUGCUGCUCGCUCCACAGAACCGCACCGGGGCUACAUUACAUCACUUCCAGCAAACUUCACGGAGAACAAUGACGGCAGAGCGGCAUCGCCGAGCUGGUUUAACCGAAUACUGUCCGCUGUGAAUCUGAUAAAACCACCAAAACACCGAAUCCGCCUGGAUGUGUGCAGCCCGUUAUCGUGUGGGUCACUCCGUAACCGGUACCGACAGCAGCGUAGCGUUAGCCGCCGCCGGUGAAGGAGAGUAACGGCUGCUGCGUUCAGACCCACCGACCUCCUCACGGAACCACAGCACACGGAAGUUAGACGGCGGCUCACCUGUGACCUGGAAGCCGGAGGAGAAGCAGGGUUCCCGGCUGUGCUGGGGCAGGUUUGGACUGAGCAGCUCCGGAGAAGAGAAGAAGAGAAGCGGCGGUAUUGUGUUUAAAGCGGCAGAGUGGAGGGGGCGGAGCCAAUACCUGCGGCACGGCGCGCGACCGCGAGCGUGCGUCUGAGCGUGCGUGUACAUCUUUACAAUAACAUAACUUAACGUGUGAAAUAUUAAAUUAUACAGUAAUAUUUGAGUUAUCUGAAUAUCAAUAAAGUGAAUCUGCAAACGGA